ACGGAAGGCAGCAGUGGGGAAUAUUGGGCAAUGGGCGAAAGCCUGACCCAGCAACGCCGCGUGAAGGAAGAAGGUCCUCGGAUUGUAAACUUCUUUUAUCAGGGACGAAGAAAGUGACGGUACCUGAUGAAUAAGCCACGGCUAACUACGUGCCAGCAGCCGCGGUAAUACGUAGGUGGCGAGCGUUAUCCGGAUUUACUGGGUGUAAAGGGCGCGUAGGCGGGGAUGCAAGUCAGAUGUGAAAUCCCCGGGCUUAACCCGGGAACUGCAUUUGAAACUGUAGUUCUUGAGUAUCGGAGAGGCAAGCGGAAUUCCUAGUGUAGCGGUGAAAUGCGUAGAUAUUAGGAGGAACACCAGUGGCGAAGGCGGCUUGCUGGACGACAACUGACGCUGAGGCGCGAAAGCGUGGGGAGCAAACAGGAUUAGAUACCCUGGUA
Molecule: ribosomal RNA, 437 nt
Filed under: uncultured Oscillospiraceae bacterium
Lineage: Bacteria; Bacillati; Bacillota; Clostridia; Eubacteriales; Oscillospiraceae
Description: bacterial SSU rRNA
Rfam family: Bacterial small subunit ribosomal RNA
Source: RNAcentral